AUGCCGCUCCUUGGCCUCCUGCUGCUCUGGUUCCAAGGUGCCAGUUGUGCCAUCCGGGUGACCCAGUCUCCAGCCUCCCUGGGUGCAUCUCUCAGAGACACAGUCUCCAUCACUUGCCGGGCCAGUCAGAGUGUUAGCAGCGAAUUAGCCUGGUAUCAACAACAACCAGGGAAGGCUCCUAAACUCUUGAUCCAUGCUGCAUCCACUUUGCAAAGUGGGGUCCCUUCCCAGUUCAGGGGCAGUGGAUCUGGCACCGAUUUCACCCUCACCAUCAGUGGCCUGCAGACUGAAGAUGUUAGAACUUAUUACUGUCAGCAGUAA
This is a non-coding RNA of Sus scrofa (pig), 321 nucleotides long. NCBI's taxonomy places the organism in Eukaryota, Metazoa, Chordata, Mammalia, Artiodactyla, Suidae. The record is from the annotation of a RefSeq genome assembly.